CUUCAAAUUGAAUCAAAACUCAAUUUAUAUGUCAGCCUCACGACUAUGACGUCUUUUUCUUUUCUUUUCUUUUUUUUUGAGAAAUAUGUAGCACGCUACCCGCUUCGUUUAUUUCAUUUAAAAAAAAAUUUAGCUGGAAAUGUGAAUCAACAAGGAUUCGAACUUGGGAUCUCGAAUACCAACCAUAAAGCCCUUUGCCACUUGCUCUAGGAACGAUCGGUGCCUCAUGACUAUCUCAAAUGGUCAUUAUUAUUACCACUUACUAAGUCUCCUUUCGGAAUUGAGGGUAAAAUAAUAUCCAUGCAAUGGGAAAGUGCAACGACAAAAUAUUUCAUUAGUUUUCGUAAAUUAAAACAUGUAACACCAAUCACAUUAGUUUUGUUAAGAUAUAAUUAUACGGUGAAUUACACUUUUGGUCUUCAUACUAUGAUUCUCAUACUUUAAUUUAUUAUAAUUUUUUGUUCAAACUUCUGAGUUAUUACAAUUAAGUUCUACAAUCAAAUUUAGUUGGAUGGAUGUCUCGCUAAUGUGAAAUUGAUGUAGCAGUAUUGUGAUCGGUAAUAUAAUAAUAAUUAAAAUACUACAUCACUUCUAUAUCAGUGAUUUAUCAAUAUUUAAUAAAAUAAAUUAGGUUGUACGACUUAAUUAUAAUUUAUAAAAUUAUAAUUUAUAAAAUUCGAGUAAAAAAUUACAAUAAAUUAAAAUU
This 706-nucleotide long non-coding RNA is filed under the name Ananas comosus (pineapple). RNAcentral describes it as "long non-coding RNA (ACOM_LNC022981)". The record is from RNAcentral. Lineage: Eukaryota; Viridiplantae; Streptophyta; Magnoliopsida; Poales; Bromeliaceae.